RNAcentral lists this long non-coding RNA (213 nucleotides) under Elaeis guineensis (African oil palm). RNAcentral describes it as "long non-coding RNA (EGUI_LNC070971)". Lineage: Eukaryota; Viridiplantae; Streptophyta; Magnoliopsida; Arecales; Arecaceae. The record is from RNAcentral.
GUCCACCUGCUUGCACCAGCCGGCCCGGUAUGCGUUAUAGCUCGCCUUGGCAUCCUGGAGCUGUUGCUGAAGGUCGGAGACCUUCUUCGACCAUUUUCGGUCGCUGUCGGCCCGAGUCGAAAGUGAGGAUGAGCUUCCUGCCAACUGGCUAAUCCUCUCCUGUGCAGCCGAUAGCUCCACUCUGAGAGAGCUGAUCUUGGCAGCUUGGGCCCA